UCUUUUUUUCUGUCCUAUUCUAAACAUAUUAUUUGGUUAUGGUGUGAGAGAUGAUGUAUCAUUUUUUUUUAUUUAUUUAUUUAUUUUUUUGACAUCCAAUAAGAUGUAUCAUUUUAUUUGAAAUUUCAAAUCAUAUAUUAUAUAAGCUUUGUUGCUCUGUAAGAUUUAACACGACAUCACAAAAAAAGAAAGGACAGAAUCUUUCUGACCUUAGCCUAUAAACAACACUAUAUCCGUAAGAAAAAGAAAAACUCACCAAUGACAAUGACUAUUUCUUCAAAUCCAAUUUUCA
RNAcentral lists this long non-coding RNA (292 nucleotides) under Capsella rubella. RNAcentral describes it as "long non-coding RNA (CRUB_LNC004758)". Lineage: Eukaryota; Viridiplantae; Streptophyta; Magnoliopsida; Brassicales; Brassicaceae. The record is from RNAcentral.